RNAcentral lists this ribosomal RNA (507 nucleotides) under uncultured bacterium. RNAcentral's name for it is "partial 16S ribosomal RNA". It matches the Rfam family "Bacterial small subunit ribosomal RNA", at positions 30 to 523 of the family's 1533-position model. The record is from RNAcentral.
AUUGAACGCUGGCGGCAGGCCUAACACAUGCAAGUCGAGCGGCAGCGGAAAGUAGCUUGCUACUUUGCCGGCGAGCGGCGGACGGGUGAGUAAUGUCUGGGAAACUGCCUGAUGGAGGGGGGAUAACUACUGGAAACGGUAGCUAAUACCGCAUAACGUCGCAAGACCAAAGAGGGGGACCUUCGGGCCUCUUGCCAUCAGAUGUGCCCGGAUGGGAUUAGCUAGUAGGUGGGGUAACGGCUCACCUAGGCGGCGAUCCCUAGCUGGUCUGCGAGGAUGACCAGCCACACUGGAACUGAGACACGGACCAGACUCCUACGGGAGGCAGCAGUGGGGAAUAUUGCACAAUGGGCGCAAGCCUGAUGCAGCCAUGCCGCGUGUAUGAAGAAGGCCUUCGGGUUGUAAAGUACUUUCAGCGGGGAGGAAGGCGAUAAGGUUAAUAACCUUGUCGAUUGACGUUACCCGCAGAAGAAGCACCGGCUAACUCCGUGCCAGCCGCCGCCGUAA